This 354-nucleotide transfer-messenger RNA is filed under the name Desulfobacterales bacterium. It matches the Rfam family "transfer-messenger RNA". From Rfam's summary of the family: Bacterial tmRNA, also known as 10Sa RNA or SsrA, is named for its dual tRNA and mRNA-like properties. Its role is to liberate the mRNA from a stalled ribosome. Lineage: Bacteria; Pseudomonadati; Thermodesulfobacteriota; Desulfobacteria; Desulfobacterales. The record is from RNAcentral.
GGGGGCGAAAUGGCUUCGACGGGGAUAAAGAAGCUUAGGCUGCAUACCGAGCUCCUAUCGGCUCGUAAAAAUGGUGGGAACAUAAAUAUAAUCGCAGAUGAUUAUGAAUUAGCCCUGGCCGCUUAAAAGGCCAGCGUCCUGCAGGAUUUUUCCUGCGCAUCUUGCAAGGGCGUCGACUAGCAGGAUAGUCGGUAUUGAAUGCCUGUUUUAAUACUGGUGAACUUUUAACAGGAUAGUUUUUUUAGUAUCUUGCCCGAAGGAGACUAAAAAAGCGAAAUUAAAAUUCGGAAUAAGUAUGUAGACGUCUAUGCGGAAUAUUUUCGGACGCGGGUUCAACUCCCGCCGCCUCCACCA